Molecule: ribosomal RNA, 692 nt
Filed under: uncultured beta proteobacterium
Lineage: Bacteria; Pseudomonadati; Pseudomonadota; Betaproteobacteria
Description: bacterial SSU rRNA
Rfam family: Bacterial small subunit ribosomal RNA
Source: RNAcentral
GUAACAGGUCUUCGGAUGCUGACGAGUGGCGAACGGGUGAGUAAUACAUCGGAACGUGCCUAGUAGUGGGGGAUAACUACUCGAAAGAGUAGCUAAUACCGCAUGAGAUCUACGGAUGAAAGCAGGGGACCUUCGGGCCUUGUGCUACUAGAGCGGCUGAUGGCAGAUUAGGUAGUUGGUGGGGUAAAGGCUUACCAAGCCUGCGAUCUGUAGCUGGUCUGAGAGGACGACCAGCCACACUGGGACUGAGACACGGCCCAGACUCCUACGGGAGGCAGCAGUGGGGAAUUUUGGACAAUGGGCGAAAGCCUGAUCCAGCAAUGCCGCGUGCAGGAUGAAGGCCCUCGGGUUGUAAACUGCUUUUGUACGGAACGAAAAGCCUGGGGCUAAUACCCCCGGGUCAUGACGGUACCGUAAGAAUAAGCACCGGCUAACUACGUGCCAGCAGCCGCGGUAAUACGUAGGGUGCAAGCGUUAAUCGGAAUUACUGGGCGUAAAGCGUGCGCAGGCGGUUUUGUAAGACAGUGGUGAAAUCCCCGGGCUCAACCUGGGAACUGCCAUUGUGACUGCAAGGCUAGAGUGCGGCAGAGGGGGAUGGAAUUCCGCGUGUAGCAGUGAAAUGCGUAGAUAUGCGGAGGAACACCGAUGGCGAAGGCAAUCCCCUGGGCCUGCACUGACGCUCAUGCACGAAA